Molecule: ribosomal RNA, 409 nt
Filed under: bacterium
Lineage: Bacteria
Description: partial 16S ribosomal RNA
Rfam family: Bacterial small subunit ribosomal RNA
Source: RNAcentral
UGGGGAAUAUUGCACAAUGGGCGAAAGCCUGAUGCAGCGACGCCGCGUGAGGGAUGACGGCCUUCGGUUUGUAAACCUCUUUCAGUAGGGACGAAGCGCAAGUGACGGUACCUGCAGAAGAAGCACCGGCUAACUACGUGCCAGCAGCCGCGGUAAUACGUAGGGUGCGAGCGUUGUCCGGAAUUACUGGGCGUAAAGAGCUCGUAGGCGGUUUGUCACGUCGUCUGUGAAAUCCUAGGGCUUAACCCUGGACGUGCAGGCGAUACGGGCUGACUUGAGUACUACAGGGGAGACUGGAAUUUCUGGUGUAGCGGUGGAAUGCACAGAUAUCAGGAAGAGCACCGAUGGCGAAGGCAGGUCUCUGGGUAGUAACUGACGCUGAGGAGCGAAAGCAUGGGUAGCGAACAGG